RNAcentral lists this ribosomal RNA (777 nucleotides) under uncultured Neocallimastigales. RNAcentral's name for it is "partial large subunit ribosomal RNA". It matches the Rfam family "Eukaryotic large subunit ribosomal RNA", at positions 23 to 647 of the family's 3401-position model. Lineage: Eukaryota; Fungi; Neocallimastigomycota; Neocallimastigomycetes; Neocallimastigales. The record is from RNAcentral.
GAGAGAGAGACAUGCGCGCAUAUCAAUAAGCGGAGGAAAAGAAACUAACAAGGGAUUCCCCUAGUAACGGCGAGUGAAGCGGGAAGAGCUCAAAUUUGAAAUCUUAAAGGGUUUCCCUUUACGAAUUGUAGUUUAAAGAAGUGUUUUUUGUUGAGGUUUUGGUAAAAGUUCUUUGGAAUAGGACAUCAUAGAGGGUGAGAAUCCCGUAUUUGACCUUUACUUUCAACUUUGUGAUACACUUCCAAAGAGUCGGAUUGUUUGGGAAUGCAGUCCAAAAUGGGUGGUAAAUUUCAUCUAAAGCUAAAUAUUGGCGAGAGACCGAUAGCGAACAAGUACCGUGAGGGAAAGAUGAAAAGAACUUUGAAAAGAGAGUUAAACAGUACGUGAAAUUGUCAAAAGGGAAGCGUUUGACACCAGUGUUGUUUUUCUGAAAAUCAAUUAAAGAACUGUUUAUGCUAAGCUGUUUAGACUUUAUCAGCUAUCUGUUUAGUUUUGAGCUUUUCUUUAAUGCACUUUUCAGUUAACAAGUCAACAUCAAUUUCUUUUGCUGUAAAAAAGCUUGAGGAAGGUGGCUUGAGAUUCGUCUUAAGUGUUUAUAGCCUCUUGCCUAUGCAGUCGGAGAGAUUGAGGUCUGCAGCGUAGAUCCUUCGGGGCUAAAUGCACUUUGUGCUAAGUUAUAGCAUUUUAUAGACAACUUGUUGACUAUGAUUUGUCUUGUAGCUUACUCGCUUAUGUUAUUUUACCUACGCUUAGGAUGUUGACGCAUGAGAUAUACGC